GCUUUUCUGAAACGGAAAUUCACAAUUAGUUUUCAAAUUUCCUUUCCUGACUAAAAAAAUGUCGAUUUAAUGCUUUUCUCGAUCCGUCUCUGAAUACGUGCAGCGCAUUAAUUGUUUGAAAUCAAGCUGUCUGGUAGCUACAUCAUGUACAUUUACAACUGUCAUCGUUAUGACGAGUAGAUAUAUUACCCGCUGAUAUAGUAUAAUACCCUAACAUCCAGUUAGAUAGUCAAACCAC
This 238-nucleotide long non-coding RNA is filed under the name Mytilus galloprovincialis (Mediterranean mussel). Lineage: Eukaryota; Metazoa; Mollusca; Bivalvia; Mytilida; Mytilidae. The record is from RNAcentral.